Molecule: unclassified non-coding RNA, 172 nt
Filed under: soil metagenome
Description: partial contains 5.8S ribosomal RNA, internal transcribed spacer 2, and large subunit ribosomal RNA
Source: RNAcentral
AACGCACGAGACCUGCGGACCUGCGGAGGGAUCAUUAGUGAACGCCCUCACGGGCUUAUAACUAUUCCAAACCUCUGUGAACCGUGCCCUUCGGGGCUAUUUUACAAACAUGGUGUAAUGAACGUCAUAUAUCAUAACAAAACAAAACUUUCAACAAUGGAUCUCUAGAUCU